UACGUAGGUGGCAAGCGCUGUCCGGAUUUAUUGGGUUUAAAGGGUGCGUAGGCGGCCCUGUAAGUCAGUGCUGAAAUAUCCCAGCUUAACUGGGAGGGUGGCAUUGAUACUGCGGGGCUAGAGUACAGAUGAGGUAGGCGGAAUUGACGGUGUAGCGGUGAAAUGCUUAGAUAUCGUCAAGAACACCUAUAGCGAAGGCAGCUUACUAGGCUGUAACUGACGCUGAGGCACGAAAGUGUGGGGAUCAAACAGG
This 253-nucleotide ribosomal RNA is filed under the name uncultured bacterium. Its description in RNAcentral is "partial 16S ribosomal RNA". It matches the Rfam family "Bacterial small subunit ribosomal RNA", at positions 524 to 776 of the family's 1533-position model. The record is from RNAcentral.